GUUUAAUUAAUAUGCAUAAAAGAGACCAUGGCAUGCUACUACAAUGUAGCUGUCUCAUUGGCAUUCAUACCACAUCUUGUCUAUAUAAGAGUCUAAUUUGUGGUAAAAAUAGUCCUCUAUGUGUUUCUAACAGAGAUAAAGAUCCAUGGUCUCAUGUGUGUAAUUCGCAUAAAAAAGACCAUGGCAUGUUAAUGACAGUCCAAUAGGUCCAUGGCACCCAUGGUGUUGCUUAUGUUAACUUCGAAACACUCAAUUAUGUAUGAUUUCCCAACUAAAAGACAUUUCAGAAUAUUCACCCAACUAAGAACUGGCUAUACAGAACUCAACUACUACAAGAACCGAGUAGGCCAAACCAACGCCAUAGAGUCAUGCAACUGUGAAGCUUCUAAAACGCCUCAUCAUUUCCUCUGGUGUGUCCCUGCUAUGAGAACAAACAUGAAUAUAUGUUACACCAAAUAUUCAAAGAGGUCAGGGUAAGAAACCUCAAUCUUCUAUUUCUAACGAGACUGAACAGCGAGAACACAGAAAGGACAAAAGCCAAACUACUAACAGUGGCACAUUACAUUCACAGAACAGGCAGAUUUAAUACUGCUGUUAUACUGCUGUUCCUCAAUCAGGACAAUCUUAACCAGCGCAUACUAAUUUAAACCACAGAGAACAUGGAGAGAAAAAAAUGUUGAGAAAAACUACACAUUGAGACAUUUCAUGCUAACAGGCC
This 718-nucleotide long non-coding RNA is filed under the name Mytilus galloprovincialis (Mediterranean mussel). The record is from RNAcentral. Lineage: Eukaryota; Metazoa; Mollusca; Bivalvia; Mytilida; Mytilidae.